GAAGACUUACAAGACUUAUCUCAUAUCAUCUGAAUGCAACACAGACAUUUUAAUUAAACUAAAGCCUA
This 68-nucleotide transfer RNA is filed under the name Agama lionotus. Its description in RNAcentral is "tRNA-Ala". The record is from RNAcentral. Lineage: Eukaryota; Metazoa; Chordata; Lepidosauria; Squamata; Agamidae.